RNAcentral lists this ribosomal RNA (536 nucleotides) under pr. Miocalles sp. ARC1677. Its description in RNAcentral is "partial 16S large subunit ribosomal RNA". The stretch from base 385 to 536 matches the Rfam family "Bacterial large subunit ribosomal RNA", at positions 2473 to 2625 of the family's 2925-position model. Lineage: Eukaryota; Metazoa; Arthropoda; Insecta; Coleoptera; Curculionidae. The record is from RNAcentral.
GGCUUAUUGAUUAUAAUUUUAAGUCUAACCUGCCCAAUGAUAAAUAAUUUAAAUGGCCGCGGUAUAUUGACCGUGCAAAGGUAGCAUAAUCAUUAGUUUUUUAAAUGGAAGCUGGAAUGAAGGGUUUGAUGAAAAAAUGAUUGUCUCUAUUUAACUUUUUUUGAAAUUUAUUUUUAAGUGAAAAAGCUUAAAUUUGUAUAAAAGACGAGAAGACCCUAUAGAGUUUUAUAUUUAUAUAAAUAAAAGUUAUUUAGAAUUAAAAAUUUUAUUUAUAUAUUUAUUUAGUUGGGGUGAUUGAAAAAUUUAAAAAACUUUUUUUUAGUAAUCAUUAAUUUAUGAAUAUAUGAUCCUUUAGUAUAGAUUAAAAGAUAAAAUUACCUUAGGGAUAACAGCGUAAUUUUUUUUAAAAGUUCUUAUUAAAAAAAAAGAUUGCGACCUCGAUGUUGGAUUAAAAGAAAUUUUUGGUGUAGAAGCUAAAAAAUUAGGUCUGUUCGACCUUUAAAAUUUUACAUGAUCUGAGUUUAAACCGGUGUGAG